GGUCAGCAUCAGUUUUGGCCGGUGGAUAAAGGCUUAGAGAAUGUGGCCCUCUUCGGGGGGUGUUAUAGCUCUAGGUGCAAUGUAGCCUACUUGGACUGAGGACCGCGCUUCGGCUAGGAUGCUGGCGUAAUGGUUGUAAGCGA
This 143-nucleotide ribosomal RNA is filed under the name Botrytis sp. RNAcentral describes it as "partial large subunit ribosomal RNA". The record is from RNAcentral. Lineage: Eukaryota; Fungi; Ascomycota; Leotiomycetes; Helotiales; Sclerotiniaceae.